AAAAUAGAUAUGUUUUUUGUUUGAUAAGUUUUGUUUAAUUAGUUUAAUUUAAAAUUUUAAGUUGUGGAUUU
This 71-nucleotide transfer RNA is filed under the name Secretargas transgariepinus. RNAcentral's name for it is "Argas transgariepinus tRNA-His". The record is from RNAcentral. Lineage: Eukaryota; Metazoa; Arthropoda; Arachnida; Ixodida; Argasidae.